RNAcentral lists this long non-coding RNA (3687 nucleotides) under Vigna radiata. RNAcentral describes it as "long non-coding RNA (VRAD_LNC008348)". Lineage: Eukaryota; Viridiplantae; Streptophyta; Magnoliopsida; Fabales; Fabaceae. The record is from RNAcentral.
CCUACUUCACUUUCCAUCCUUCAAUUUUCAUUAAAUCCUGUCAAAACAAUGUAAAACCAAGCAUAAUAUAUCUAAAACCAGCUUUGACUCUCUUGUGACCUAACUUAAGUGUUUUGCAUGAUUUUAAGCUUAUUCUAAGUCAUAAAGGGUGUGUUUUGAUAUCAAUUUCACAUAGAAAAAUAACAGUGUUUAGACCGUUAUCAGAAGCCUAGAGUCAUGGAAUACUUAGGAGCCUUUCCAUCAUUUAGUGAGGACCCUCAUCAUUAAAUGAAGAGCCUAAGCAUUAAAUAAAGAGCCUAAGCAUUAAAUGAGGAGCCUAAACAUUAAAUGUGAGGAGCCUUAUGCUUUGUAACUAACUUAGUCAAAGCAUUUAAUGCAAAGGCUCCUUGCUACUAACUCCUCUCAAAACCCAUUUUUAACUCUUAAAGGCACCAAACCUUCUAAAAAAAUCUAAACAAAAUGUCUUGGCCAAAUACAAGGCCUAAAAAAAACGAGCUAUAUUAUAUUACCAAAUGUGUUUUAAGAUAAAGAAGAAGACCAAAAUGUGAUUCUCCACAAGAGUAGAAUCCUUCAAGCUCCAUCUUCUUCAUGGCUCUUUAUGAGAGGUCCAAUGUCUUUUAAAGCUUAAGGGAAAGCAAGAAUAAGCUUGAAAGUCCUUCUUCUUCUUCCAAUCUGCUAGCCUUAGCUGAAGUUGAUGCUCCCUUCAUGGAUCCCCAUUUAGUUCCUAAAACAGAUUCCAUCAUCUCUUCAUCUAUAAAAAAGAGGUUCUUCCCUUUGUAAUUUCUAACUUUGAAUUGAUAACAUUCACAAUAUAAAAUGUUAAACUGUCAGAGUUAUACAACUGAAACUAGAGGAGCUCACUCCCCGAAUCCUAAAAGUUUUCGAAAACCAGGCUCUGAUACAAAAAUGGAACACCCAGAUUUUUUAGAUGUCACAUUGCAAAAAUUCACAAAGUUUUUUGAUACACAAUUCUUUAAGACGAUUAAACUUUAUUUGAUUAAAACGCGGACGCAAAACAUAAUUAUAAAUGAUGUCUGAAAUUGUAGAAUAUCGUUUUUACAUAAAAUACCAAGUCUAAAAAGUUUUAAACAUAAGUAGUCAACCCCGAUAUAAAGAUCCCAACUCUCGCCAGCUACUUCGAUCCAACCUUUAUUUGCAACGCCAUCUACUCCUAUACAGGUACAAUCAUCGUAGGUGGAAACCACAACCACAACAUGCAAGGGUGAACAACCAGAUAUAUAAUAGCAUAUAAAAUGUCAUAUUGAUAUUAUACAACAUAUUCCAUCACAACAUUUCCAUUACAGCCAAUUCAUUUGAUCCUAAACGAUCAUCUCUACCAACAAGCUAACACAUCACAUUUCUAUACACAUCCUUAUUUUCAUGCGUUAUACAACACUCACCAAACUUGAACACAAAUCUAAAAUAUUUUCAAUAACCUCGAUUAACCCAAUUUCUUACCAAGAAACAAUGUCAUCAUUAAUACUUACUAAAUUGACCACAUCAAAAUAGUGAACUACCAUUCACUAGUACCGACCAUAAAUGACCACAAGCUACAAUUUCCAUCUUCUUUGAUUCAUAAAAUCAUUGUAUAAUCAAACCAAACUAAUUAGGGCUGUUUCAAAAUAAUUAACGUCAAAACAUGGAAAAGAUAAUAAAAUACAUAAUAGUAAUCUUCCAAUCAUACUUCACUAAACUAUGGGCCUACUAAAAAGUGCAUGAUACUUUUUUCUUAUAUUCUUGAAGACAAACCCAAAAGAGAAAUUCAUUUCUCUAUACUACAAUAACUAAUUCAUAAACUCUUCUCUUUUCUCUCAAAAUGGGCCUCAUAACUAUUAAAGUUCUUUUCCUCUCACAUCCAUGUGGACCUCAUGCGGGUCCACCCACUUUUCCACUUUACACUCAUUUUCUCUCUCUAUUUGUCUCCCUUUAACGUAACCACUCAUAACACCACUCUCUUUUUCCUUCAAUUAUCCAUUCCAACCUAAACUCCACACCAUUUCUACUUCUCUCACCAAUUUCUUUGUUUUUUCUUAUGAAACCAAUCUCUCUCUCUCUUCUACAUUCACGUAAACACUCACCAUGCACCCACCUAUAUCUCCUUCCUUCUCCUUUUAUUUAAUUAAUCUUUUAUUCAAUCCAAAACAAAACAAAAACAUUUAAGUCUUCUUCUCUCUCCCAGUUUUACGUUACCUACCAUACACUUUCUUCCUCACUUUUCUUUUUCACUCAUACCCAUUAAAAAAACUAUUUCAUUUUCCUAUUUAAUUAUUUUAAACUAAACUCAAGAACUUCAUAUACCAUUUUCGUACCCCUUUUCCUUUUCCUAGGAGCCAUGCCCAAAAUGUCUUCCUCCCUUCUCUCUCUUCUCUCCCUUUCUUGUUCCAUUUUCACAGAACCCCUUGCUCCCUACUACAUCUCAUGAUCCCCAUAAAACACUACCCCUUCCAUUCCAAAAUUAAAAUCCCACUCAUGUGCCCUACGUUGUCUACUUCUAUCAUAAAAAAUAUCGUGACUCCCUUCCUUUCUGCCUUAACUAAUAUGUAACAAAACCUUCUUCACUGUAAAUACAGAACCCAACCCCAGGAUACUCUCAGCCGACUUCUUUCCUUCUUCAAAUACCUAACACCUACUACCAUUCCCAAAACUCUCUUAACAACCUACUUUUCUCUUGUCUAUAAACCACACCCAUCCUCUUACCUAACCUUUUUAGAACCAACAAUUUCCUAUCAAUUUAAUAUAGAUGAAAAGAACCUUGCAAACCCCUCCCCCUUGCUCACCUUGCAGAUUUCCACUACAAACAAACCACACACAUCUCUAAAAACAUAAUACUCCGCUUCUUAGAACCAAUUAGGAAAACAAUAGUGGAUAUUCAUACAAAAUUCUACGCGAAGAGAAAUACUUCCAACCCAAACUACAAGUAUACCCUCAGGUCUUUAAUAUACAAAACCUUAUGACUUGCCCGCAUGUACCCAUGGCCAUACCCUUUGUAACUAAACUCAGGCCAUGUACAAAGUAUUUCAAAAUAUAACAACCAGCACAAAACACGAAAGUAUAUAAUCAUUAUACACCAAAAAAAUUCUAGACAACAAAAGUAGACUCAUAUAACAACACAAAACCAACACCAACAAUGGAACUCAAAAUCCAAAAGUCAUUGUACACAAAACAAGUUUGGUUUCUCCCCUUACAACACAUAUAUUUAUAUCACACCCGUAUUACUCUCCUUAUUACCCAACCAUUAUGUUAUAACACCCCAACAACUUACAGGGAAUAUUGAUUGCCCUCACACAUCAACAUGAGGCUUUCCAAUGUGCUUUGUCCUCACUCGCACAAUUUGCAGGAAAACAUCCCCAAAGGUUUCCCAUCCCUAAAUUACUCCGAGCUAAGCAUGCUUAACCAUGAAGUUCUUAUUGGUUAUACAAUCUCUAGGUCCCUCUCAUUCUAGUGUAUGUUUGAUUCUUCCAUGUACCCGUCCCACUGGAAGCCUGCCGGGAGUUGCUCUUUGUUUGUGCCUUUUGCAUCGGCAAUCACUCCCCGUCCUCGUCAGUGCAGUGCCCGAGUGUCACAGUUGGCCUAAUUUCAUGUUUGUGCUUGUUGUACCUGUACUUUCAUUGUUCCUUAGUGUUUAGUGAUCAUUUUAAUCAUUGAAAAUCAUUAGUUUCAUUUCAUUCCAGCUUUCAUUUUCAAAUU